AAGCAAACAGUUUUCGACUGAGCUCGGAUAGAGAUGUCUAUGUCCGCAUUUAUUUUAACUUCGUGUUAAAACGCAUUGGAAGUUACACAUACAUUCCAGACACUGGACUCUGAUGAUGCCACUGUUGGAUACAUGAAAAGCACCACUUCCUGUGCCUUAGAGGAAGGCCAGUCCAAGACCUUCAACCAUUACUUUUACCCAGAUGACCUGAGUGUUUAGCCUAAGCCAGAAGAAGAAAUCUCUCCAAGCUUUGGCACUAUGCUUAGAAACACCACUUCAUCACCUACCUGGGCCUCAGCCCUAGUUUCAAAUAACAGAGAGUCUACAGCCUCGGCACAAGUGGAUAUUCCAACUCACAACAGGCCUUGACCCAUCUACGUCAGCCAUACAUAACAGCAAGGACAGUCACGUCCUGUAAGUCCUCAGCAUCGACAGCCUGCACUUCACCUUGAAGAUGACGACAGCAAUGGGAUAAAUAAACAGGACCAUUAACUAUCCAAACGGGCAUGAUGGGAUGUCUAUUGUCGUCUGGAGAGAGCGCGGGGGAUCAGGAAGGAGACAGGAAGAGAGAGUCACUCUGCCCAGGGGUCUGCAUGGAUCCCUCACACACACACAAAUGUUUUCUCUCUUCCUCUUGAGUUUAUUGUGUUUGACCCACUGCGGGAUCCCUAACAUCCUGUUGUCCAAUUUUAUGAGAAAUAACAAGCUUAUCCUCUUGGCUUACUUGACAAACAGUUUUCCCUCUUACUCACAGCUGCCCUACAGCCAAUACAGCAGCUUUCUGGGAUCUCACUGCCAUGAAAAAAAACAUACAAAGUGUUUGAUAUUGAAAAAUUUGAGUCAUUAAAAAAGUUGUAAUCUGUAACUUCCUAUGAGAUGUCAUCCCCUACAGCAGUGUGAGGUGGAAUUUUAAUUGUGUUCGGUCUGUAACAAAGAGGGGAUGUUGUUGUUGCAGCACCACGAGUGGCCAUGGGAUGAAUUGGCAGCAAGGGUGAGUGGCAGCGUCGUAUCCAGCUCGCAUAUUUACCCCAGUGGCCAACUGUGGUACUGCAAUACAAAAAAACUCUUGCCCCUUGUGCUAAUUUUUUUUUUUUUACCCUAGACUGCCAUCAUAAAAAGAGGUCUGUAAAACUGUUGAUAGA
This is a long non-coding RNA of Epinephelus fuscoguttatus (brown-marbled grouper), 1142 nucleotides long. RefSeq lists it as uncharacterized. The record is from RefSeq and is a predicted model, not a curated record. The transcript is spliced from 5 exons. Lineage: Eukaryota; Metazoa; Chordata; Actinopteri; Perciformes; Serranidae.